This 445-nucleotide ribosomal RNA is filed under the name uncultured bacterium. RNAcentral describes it as "partial 16S ribosomal RNA". It matches the Rfam family "Bacterial small subunit ribosomal RNA", at positions 354 to 796 of the family's 1533-position model. The record is from RNAcentral.
GUGAGGAAUAUUGGUCAAUGGGCGGGAGCCUGAACCAGCCAAGUCGCGUGAAGGAAGAAGGAUCUAUGGUUCGUAAACUUCUUUUGCAGGGGAAUAAAGUGCAGGACGUGUCCUGUUUUGUAUGUACCCUGAGAAUAAGGAUCGGCUAACUCCGUGCCAGCAGCCGCGGUAAUACGGAGGAUCCGAGCGUUAUCCGGAUUUAUUGGGUUUAAAGGGUGCGUAGGUGGUAUGAUAAGUCAGCGGUGAAAGUUUGCAGCUUAACUGUAAAAAUGCCGUUGAAACUGUCGGACUUGAGUGUAAAUGAGGUAGGCGGAAUGCGUGGUGUAGCGGUGAAAUGCAUAGAUAUCACGCAGAACUCCGAUUGCGAAGGCAGCUUACUAAGCUACAACUGACACUGAAGCACGAAAGCGUGGGGAUCAAACAGGAUUAGAAACCCGGGUAGUCC